RNAcentral lists this ribosomal RNA (893 nucleotides) under Montagnula thailandica. RNAcentral describes it as "partial large subunit ribosomal RNA". It matches the Rfam family "Eukaryotic large subunit ribosomal RNA", at positions 52 to 957 of the family's 3401-position model. Lineage: Eukaryota; Fungi; Ascomycota; Dothideomycetes; Pleosporales; Didymosphaeriaceae. The record is from RNAcentral.
GGAGGAAAAGAAACCAACAGGGAUUGCCUCAGUAACGGCGAGUGAAGCGGCAACAGCUCAAAUUUGAAAUCUGGCCCCCCUCUGGGGGGUCCGAGUUGUAAUUUGCAGAGGGCGCUUUGGCAUCGGCGGCGGUCUAAGUUCCUUGGAACAGGACAUCGCAGAGGGUGAGAAUCCCGUACGUGGGCGCCUGCCUUUGCCGUGUAAAGCCCCUUCGACGAGUCGAGUUGUUUGGGAAUGCAGCUCUAAAUGGGAGGUAAAUUUCUUCUAAAGCUAAAUACCGGCCAGAGACCGAUAGCGCACAAGUAGAGUGAUCGAAAGAUGAAAAGUACUUUGGAAAGAGAGUCAAAUAGCACGUGAAAUUGUUGAAAGGGAAGCGCUUGCAGCCAGACGUGCGCGCGGUUGCUCACCCCGGCUCUCGCCUGGGGCACUCUUCCGCGCGCAGGCCAGCAUCAGUUCGGGCGGUCGGAUAAAGGCCUCUGUCAAGUACCUUCCCCCGGGAAGGCCUUAUAGGGGAGGCGCAAUGCGACCAGCCCGGACUGAGGUCCGCGCAUCUGCUAGGAUGCUGGCGUAAUGGCUGUAAGCGGCCCGUCUUGAAACACGGACCAAGGAGUCUAACAUCUAUGCGAGUGUUUGGGUGUCAAGCCCGGGCGCGCAAUGAAAGUGAACGGAGGUGGGAUCCCCUUCCGGGGUGCACCAUCGACCGAUCCUGAUGUCUUCGGAUGGAUUUGAGUAAGAGCAUAGCUGUUGGGACCCGAAAGAUGGUGAACUAUGCUUGAAUAGGGUGAAGCCAGAGGAAACUCUGGUGGAGGCUCGCAGCGGUUCUGACGUGCAAAUCGAUCGUCAAAUUUGGGCAUAGGGGCGAAAGACUAAUCGAACCAUCUAGUAGCUGGUUC